GACGAACGCUGGCGGCGUGCCUAACACAUGCAAGUCGAACGGAGUUGAAAGGAGCUUGCUUUUUUCAACUUAGUGGCGGACGGGUGAGUAACGCGUGAGUAACCUGCCUUUCAGAGGGGGAUAACGUUCUGAAAAGAACGCUGAUACCGCAUAAGAUUGUAGUUUCGCAUGGGACAGCAAUCAAAGGAGCAAUCCGCUGAAAGAUGGACUCGCGUCCGAUUAGGUAGAUGGUGAGGUAACGGCCCACCAUGCCGACGAUUGGUAGCCGGACUGAGAGGUUGAACGGCCACAUUGGGACUGAGACACGGCCCAG
This 313-nucleotide ribosomal RNA is filed under the name uncultured bacterium. RNAcentral's name for it is "bacterial SSU rRNA". It matches the Rfam family "Bacterial small subunit ribosomal RNA", at positions 28 to 334 of the family's 1533-position model. The record is from RNAcentral.